This 468-nucleotide ribosomal RNA is filed under the name uncultured bacterium. RNAcentral describes it as "partial 16S ribosomal RNA". It matches the Rfam family "Bacterial small subunit ribosomal RNA", at positions 28 to 507 of the family's 1533-position model. The record is from RNAcentral.
GACGAACGCUGGCGGCGUGCUUAACACAUGCAAGUCGAACGGAAACGUCCUGCUUUUUUGGGGUGCGCGGGUGGCGAACGGGUAAGUAACCCGUGAGUACCCUGUCCUUGACUUUGGGAUAACUUAAGAAAAGUUGAUCUCAUACCGGAUAGGAGCUACUGCUGUAUGGUGGGGGCUGGAUAGUUUCGGCGGUUGGGGAUGUACUAGCGUCUUAUCAGCUUGUUGGUGAGGUAGUGGCAGACCAAGGUCUUGACCGGUAGCCGGCCUGAGAGGGUCACCGGCCACAUUGGGACUGGGAUACGGCCCGGACUCCUACGGGAGGCAGCGGUGGAGAAUAUUGCACAGGGGGCGGAAGCCUGGUGCAGCAACGCCGCGUGCGGGAUGACGGCAUGCGGGUAGUGAACCGCUUUCGCCUGUGACGAAGCGUUAGUGACGGUAAUGGGUGAAGAAGCACCGGCUAACUACGUG